Molecule: ribosomal RNA, 258 nt
Filed under: uncultured bacterium
Lineage: Bacteria
Description: partial 16S ribosomal RNA
Rfam family: Bacterial small subunit ribosomal RNA
Source: RNAcentral
UACGUAGGGUGCGAGCGUUGUCCGGAAUUAUUGGGCGUAAAGGGCUCGUAGGCGGUUUGUCACGUCGGGCGUGAAAACUCAGGGCUCAACCCUGAGCGUGCGUUCGAUACGGGCAGACUAGAGGUAUGCAGGGGAGAACGGAAUUCCUGGUGUAGCGGUGGGAAUGACGCAGAUAUCAGGGAGGAACACCCGGUGGGCGAAGGCGGUUCUCUGGGCAUUACCUGACGCUGAGGAGCGAAAGCAUGGGGAGCGAACAGG